AACGGAGGAAAGGUUUCAGCAGCCUGGUUCCAGCAGCCUCUCGGCUCUAAUAAACCAUCGCCUUUCCUGUAACCAUCCAUGUCCCCGUACAGUUCAUUGUAAAGGGGCAUCGGAACCUGAGAAACCCAGCGCCUCAUCUCCAGACUCAGAUCCCGAUCCGUUCUAUCAGUGUCCACUGACAGCUGUCCUAUGCCCCUGGACCUUCCGCCUCACCACAACGACCGAUCUGAUUGUGUGUAGCCUUUAGUUUUCCUUCUGCCCAGACCUUGAGUGCUGAGAUGGCAGGAACCUUCUUAAUCCCCCACAGCCUGCUCAGUGCCACGAAGGAAGCCUCACACAUUGUCCAUUUGGCAAGGACCUGCUGAAUGAACAAAUGGAUUUAACAGUAUUUGUCAGCUGCAUAGGGUGGGUUUAUCAUUCAUCAAACGCGUCUGCGUCUUGGUCCAUGCUUGUUGAGUAUCCUCUGAGGCUGCCUCCACAGGUUCCAGAGGUGAACCAGUCACCAUACGGCUGCUGAUCUCUCAGCCUGAAAGAAGAGACUGACAUCCCCCAGCUCUUUUGUGAUGAAGGAAGACUCUUAAGGAGUUGAGCCUCUCGAGACUCCUACAGACUCUUACAGAUGUUUGGCAACUCUGUUUCCCUCGGACUGGCCAGCUCUUUCAAUGCAGA
RNAcentral lists this long non-coding RNA (669 nucleotides) under Mus musculus (house mouse). RNAcentral's name for it is "lincRNA-EC138". Lineage: Eukaryota; Metazoa; Chordata; Mammalia; Rodentia; Muridae. The record is from RNAcentral.